CAGCUACUCCCUUUGUAUUUUCACUUUCAAGUAUUUGAUAUUCAGUUUUCGUUUAAGUCUUUCAUCAUUUUUGUUAUCAUGUUUUCAAUCGUUGUUUUGCUAUUGUCUUUGAUUAUGUUUGAGUAGUGAACUGUAUUUCUGAGGAUGGGAUAGAAUAGUUCUGGUUUACUUGGUCGUUUUAGGUGGUUGAGUUUAGAAUUCUAGAAUCCCUUCUGGAUUAGUUGCGCUUAUUGCUUGUUUUACUGGCUAAUGUGGAGUAUGAGUCCAGACGUCCAGCGCUCAGAAGGCGUUUAAUGGGCGUUGGAUCCUAUUAAUUCCAGAGAUAUCUGACUCUACCCCAAGGGAUUGGCUGUAGAGAGGGUAUUGACUUUAACAUGUUGAUUCGAUAAUGCGUGCUUAGUUAGAGAUCGCUAAAGGGAUUUAGGUCAGUGUCUAGCUUUGCUUGAGGAUUUCUAUCACUGGAGUGAAUUAAUCUGUUGUUGAACUUGUUGUCUAGGGAUAGCUUCUGUGAAGUUUUGUCAACCGCCUGAAUAGAUUAAGGAGACCACACUAUUCGAUUACCCCAUCCUUAGGAAUCGUUUAUCCAUUUGAUUGCCUGUUAUCAUUUCUGCUUUGUCAUUCACUUGCCUGCUAUUGCCAUUUCUUCUUUUAGUUUCAUUUCAUUUCUGUUAUUGCAUACUAGGACUGUUAGAACCAACCAACUUUCUGCUUGGCUUGACUUAGAGCUUUCUGAUCAUAUCUCAUCUGUUUGCAUCACACCGGAUUGGAUUGACAUCCUAAAAUACUACAACGACAAGAUAGUGUUUUAGGGAUUAAUUCAGUAAAAUCCUACUAUCAUAUCUCCAAGCGAAAAUGGAAACAAGUGAAGCUUGAAACCAUCUUCACUAACUCCAUUGAUUCUUGUUAGGCUACAGAGCCUUUCAAACUCGUCUAGGUGAUCGAGUGGAUCUUCAAUUGGAAGGCCGUGAGAUUUGUUGCCCUGAACCAUAGCAAUGAGACCACUCUUGAU
Molecule: small RNA, 1009 nt
Filed under: Arabidopsis thaliana (thale cress)
Lineage: Eukaryota; Viridiplantae; Streptophyta; Magnoliopsida; Brassicales; Brassicaceae
Description: ATSL167490
Source: RNAcentral